CACGUAUUUAGCCGGAGCUUCUUAGUCAGGUACCGUCAUUUUCUUCCCUGCUGAUAGAGCUUUACAUACCGAAAUACUUCUUCACUCACGCGGCGUUGCUGCAUCAGGGUUUCCCCCCAUUGUGCAAUAUUCCCCCACUGCUGCCUCCCGUAGGAGUUUGGGCCGUGUCUCAGUCCCAAUGUGGCCGUUCACUCUCUCAAGCCGGCUACUGAUCGUUGUCUUGGUAGGCCGUUACCCUGCCAACUAACUAAUCAGACGCGGGCCCAUCCUGUACCACCGGAGUUUUUCCUGCUGUACCAUGCGGUACUGUAGGCUUAUGCGGUAUUAGCAGCCGUUUCCAGCUGUUGUCCCCCUGUACAGGGCAGGUUACCCACGCGUUACUCACCCGUCCGCCACUCAGUCCUGCGCGUCUUCCCUCCGGAGAGUUCCGUCACACAGUCUUCGUUCGACUUGCAUGUGUUAGGCACGCCGCCAGCCGUUCAUCCUGAGCCAGGAUCCAAAACUCU
Molecule: ribosomal RNA, 506 nt
Filed under: uncultured Lachnospiraceae bacterium
Lineage: Bacteria; Bacillati; Bacillota; Clostridia; Lachnospirales; Lachnospiraceae
Description: partial 16S ribosomal RNA
Source: RNAcentral